RNAcentral lists this small nuclear RNA (145 nucleotides) under Zalophus californianus (California sea lion). RNAcentral's name for it is "U1 spliceosomal RNA (ENSZCAG00015020854.1)". It matches the Rfam family "U1 spliceosomal RNA". Rfam says of the family: U1 is a small nuclear RNA (snRNA) component of the spliceosome (involved in pre-mRNA splicing). Its 5' end forms complementary base pairs with the 5' splice junction, thus defining the 5' donor site of an intron. There are significant differences in sequence and secondary structure between metazoan and yeast U1 snRNAs, the latter being much longer (568 nucleotides as compared to 164 nucleotides in human). Lineage: Eukaryota; Metazoa; Chordata; Mammalia; Carnivora; Otariidae. The record is from RNAcentral.
AUACUUAGCUGGCACAGGAGUGUUUUCCCAGGGCAAGGCUUAUCCAUUGCACUCUGGAUAUGCUGACCCCUGUGAUUUCCCCAAAUGUGGGAAAAUUGACUGCAUAAUUUGUGGUAGCAGGGGACUGCAUUAGUUCUCUCCCUUC